RNAcentral lists this ribosomal RNA (449 nucleotides) under uncultured bacterium. Its description in RNAcentral is "bacterial SSU rRNA". It matches the Rfam family "Bacterial small subunit ribosomal RNA", at positions 330 to 795 of the family's 1533-position model. The record is from RNAcentral.
CCCAGACUCCUACGGGAGGCAGCAGUGGGGGAUAUUGCACAAUGGGGGGAACCCUGAUGCAGCGACGCCGCGUGGGUGAAGGAGCGUUUCGGCGCGUAAAGCCCUAUCGGCAGGGAAGAAGGAGGACGGUACCUGACUAAGAAGCCCCGGCUAACUACGUGCCAGCAGCCGCGGUAAUACGUAGGGGGCAAGCGUUAUCCGGAUUUACUGGGUGUAAAGGGGGCGCAGACGGCAGCGCAAGCCAGGAGUGAAAGCCCGGGGCCCAACCCCGGGACUGCUCUUGGAACUGCGCGGCUGGAGUGCAGGAGGGGCAGGCGGAAUUCCUGGUGUAGCGGUGAAAUGCGUAGAUAUCAGGAGGAACACCGGUGGCGAAGGCGGCCUGCUGGACUGCGACUGACGUUGAGGCCCGAAAGCGUGGGGAGCAAACAGGAUUAGAUACCCUAGUAUAC